Molecule: long non-coding RNA, 314 nt
Organism: Perca fluviatilis (European perch)
Lineage: Eukaryota; Metazoa; Chordata; Actinopteri; Perciformes; Percidae
Exons: 3
Source: RefSeq, a predicted model, not a curated record
CAUCACCACCCUUAUUUUAUCAAUAAAGGGCGUACAUUUUGUAUGGCCUCAAGAGUUUAUCUUCCCUGCACUUUCUGAUGCUCAGAUUUUAGACUUUGAAAAAAAUGAAGCCUUGGAGGCACCUUCCUGAAGUGUCCACACUGGCACCUGCUGUCAAAUGAAUGGAGCAAAGUGAAAACCCUUCUGGGUUUUUCCCAACCUCGAGCAAAAGGGGAGGGAGCCCAAAAGAGACUGAGCCAGAGAGAAUAAUGAACAGUGAACAUGGAACCUGGUAGUUCGAUGAGUGCAGAUGAUGAAUGACCACGGGGAGGGAG